AAAAUAGAUGAUCAUCUUGAGGUGGGAUGGAAGAGGACAGAAUAUGGUAAAUGGAGUACUAAAAACAGGCUAACACUGUGUCUGUACAUGUUCUGAAACAAUGGUAAGGCUGUAAUGAGCAUUCAUCAAUGAAAGACUGCAGGAAGCGAGCUGGGAUAAUACAGAAUUACAAGUGAGAAGACAAGAAGUCCUGGACUGAAGUUCUAAAUGUCUGUCUGCUACCACCUACUUAGGGAUAUCAAGGCUUACAGGAACUGAAUUUGUAUAGGUCUUUGCAUUGGAGACCUCCUCUGUGGAGCAGCAUCUAUAGCAGCAGCUGAUCUGAGCAGAUGGAAAUUAGAAGGAAAAAGGCCACACUGGGAAACAUACAGUGGGUGCACUCUUAAAAAAGAUGUAACGUGCCUGUUGGAGUGUAAAAUUAGCCAAGGAUAACACGUAGCAGUCUGUCCUCAGUUGACAAAUACAUCUAGUUUGACUGACGGUACCAUGAGACUGAGUCCUUCAUGAAUAUAUAAUGUUAUUGAAAUUUCAGAUGUGAAUGGUAGUAGGGAAGAAGGAAAUCCCUGCCUACAUCAAAAGCUUCUAUACUUCUCCUAGCUCCAAGAUGCUGAGCUGAUAUGACAGUACGUCAGCAUAUUUUCAUCAUCCAUAUAAGAUCUUUUGUGUGAUUACACUGGUUAUAGGUGUGUAUUGAUAUUAUUAUGUGUCCUAAAAUUCAAAUAAGCAUUUUUCAGUUAUUGCUGCUUUCACAGUGUACCUGGUGUGGCUGCUGUUAACCUCUAGUCCUGUGCAUAAAUACAAGAAAAUCUGACUCAUAUUUUUAAUAAGAUUGUGCUAAAGUGCUGCUAUAAUAAAUAAUUCAAAAUGCUGGAGAAUUCACUAAGUACUGCAAGUUCUAUUUAUGUUGUGUAUGGAUCUGUUUACAUUAUGCAAAUCAAGCUAUAGUUUUCAAAUACAUUAAUCACUGAGUUUAUCCAGAUGUGAUCAGUGUAAAAAAAAAUUAACUAAUCUUAUACUCUGAGGAACACUACAGGAUAUUCUUCAAAAUUAAUUUGUAGAUGAAAGAGAGGCACUGGUGCUUGUGUGUAUAGGAGUAGUACAGAAGUUUUUUCCACAUUGUUGUGAUAGAUGAAAGGAUUGUCAUUGAAUGCAAUGUGUUCAGCUAUGUGUCUGCUCAUAGAAGUAGAUGGGAAGAAGUAGCAAAUCAUUCUGUAAUACUUGCAUACUGGAAAAAAAAGUAGCAUUCAUUUAUUUAUGUGUUUAUGUCUCUUAGCCAGUUUGGAUAACUUCAGAAAGGCUUGAGAUUUAGACAAUUCAAUUUCAAGACCAGCUUUCAAAAGGGAACCUGGCACUUUUCAUUCUCAUUUUAUUCAAUGAGAAUAGUUUGAUUUGUCAGCAAUGUCUGAAAAGCAGAUGAGCUCCAGCAUGCAGCCCAUAAAUUAUUCUGGAUAUGAUUUAUCUAUUUUCAUAUUUUCUAUUUCCUUUUGGAUUCCUUUAUUUCAGGUCUCAGAUACCACAGAAAUAAUGCUACAAACUGCAUGAUGUAGUCAUAACUCUUAAGUCUGUGUGAGCAAGAAUCAUUUAAAUUUAAUAGGAGAAAGUAUGUAAUAAGUUUAAGAUAUGUUUUAGUACUGCAGUCUAUCACAUCUCCACAUACGAAGUCAGAUUGUUCAUUUAUCUCUGUUGAUCUCUCUAUGGAUCAAAUAUUUAUUCUUACUACCUGUUUCUUGACCAAUGGAGUGAAAAUACUGUAUUCAGUCAUGUUUACUUUUGAGAUUACUAGCUCAGUUUUCCUUUUUAAGGCAGAGAUUUAUUGAAGCCAGUCCUGCUGUGUUUGCUUAGGUUUAGCAAGACAACUGUCCAUCUAAAUUGUAAAGGUGCCUGUAAUGAAUACAUAAACAAAAACACUAUAAAUAAACUGCAAAGCUGGACUUCAUCGGGUUUAUUUCCUUGGAAAUGUUUUCCAGUUUAACUCACAUGAGAUCUCCCACAAGGCUGAGGAAGUUGUGGAUGACUCAGAGCAUGCCAGUGAGUUAUCUUAUAUGUUCAUCUAGACUUCACCUAUUUGACUACCUAUGCUAUUACUGCUCAGGGGUUCCAUUUACUACUGAGUUAGAUUAGCUCUGAAAAUUAGAUUUUAGUAUAUAUCGUUCUCUUCAAAAUACUUUUCCUUUCCAUUCCUGACAGUGAUGUUUGUAAUGCCUCAGAGAGUCUGGAGUGAAUACGUGAAAUCACAGUCACCGUGUUUCAGUAACUGUACCUACACGUCAAGAGUACAGAAGACACAGGUGACAGAUGCUUUGAUGAAUACAGAGCUAUGGAGUACCCUUACAGCUACUUUAUCUACAUAGAAAUCUGCACCAUUACUUUUGUUCUAAGAGUUGGUACUAAGAGAAAUUGUUUGUUCAUAAAUUAUAUGCCCAAAUUUUGUG
Long non-coding RNA from Phasianus colchicus (ring-necked pheasant), 2432 nucleotides. RefSeq lists it as uncharacterized. The record is from RefSeq and is a predicted model, not a curated record. NCBI's taxonomy places the organism in Eukaryota, Metazoa, Chordata, Aves, Galliformes, Phasianidae.